RNAcentral lists this ribosomal RNA (253 nucleotides) under uncultured bacterium. RNAcentral's name for it is "partial 16S ribosomal RNA". It matches the Rfam family "Bacterial small subunit ribosomal RNA", at positions 524 to 776 of the family's 1533-position model. The record is from RNAcentral.
UACGUAGGGUGCAAGCGUUAAUCGGAAUUACUGGGCGUAAAGCGUGCGCAGGCGGUGAUGUAAGACAGAUGUGAAAUCCCCGGGCUCAACCUGGGAACUGCAUUUGUGACUGCAUCGCUGGAGUGCGGCAGAGGGGGAUGGAAUUCCGCGUGUAGCAGUGAAAUGCGUAGAUAUGCGGGGGAACACCGAUGGCGAAGGCAAUCCCCUGGGCCUGCACUGACGCUCAUGCACGAAAGCGUGGGGAGCAAACAGG